Camelina sativa (false flax) is the source of this 877-nucleotide non-coding RNA. Lineage: Eukaryota; Viridiplantae; Streptophyta; Magnoliopsida; Brassicales; Brassicaceae. The record is from RefSeq and is a predicted model, not a curated record.
GCUCAUCUUCAAAUUUUGACACAGCCCCCAAGAAAGAAAGAAAAAAAAAAAUUUGUUAGCUCGACCACCCAUAAUUAACUCUUUUGUCUUAUCAAAACUCUUAUAAUAGGUAUUUCUAUCUAUUACAACAAAUGGAUGGAGGCUUGGGAACAAUGUUAAUGAAGGUGGCCUUAUUUGCUCUGGUUCAAGCUUUGGUGUAUCUCAUCCUCUCAAAAUCGUCCACUGUUUAAACAGGGUCUAAAUGGGUAGAUCCGUUUAAACCCACGGUGUAACGGGGCUUGAUCUAAAGUAAACGGGUAGCCGUUAAAAGAAAUGAUAACUUUAUUUUACCAAAACACUGCCAUUUAUGACUAGGGUUUUCAAAACAUCUAUCUUCUCCGAAUCUCUCGCUGCAAAUGCCUCUGAACUUCAACGUCUUCUCCUCUAAUAAACUCACCAACACUCUGCUUCAGCCUCCGAGCCUCUUUGUCUCUUCCUCCAUUAUCGCCGUUUUGAUUCUUAAAGUUUGGCACAUAGCCACCGUAGGGAUACAAUUAGGAGGCUGUGUGAAAGUGAGUUGGCUGGUGAUGCUGGUGGCUGGUGAAGAAAAAAAGGAGGUGAUCGACGGUGUAAAGUUUACAAGCUAGCUCCGGCCAAUCACUAGGAGAUAUCGACACCCUUUUGUAAACCACCGGCGAGAAUCGACGACUCCGGUAGCUUCUCCCACCGGCGAGAAUCGACGACUCCGGUAGCUUCUCCCACAAGCGUAGGAAAAUGUUGAAAAACCUUUAACAAAAUCGAUUCAAAAUGUUUAAUGUUUUCAGAACACGUUUUCUAAACAUGUUAGAACGUAAUCUUAAGAAUAUAUAUGAUUAGCAUAAUUUCGGGAUUACGUAAA